Molecule: transfer RNA, 85 nt
Filed under: bacterium
Lineage: Bacteria
Description: tRNA-Leu
Rfam family: tRNA
About the family: Transfer RNA (tRNA) molecules are approximately 80 nucleotides in length. Their secondary structure includes four short double-helical elements and three loops (D, anti-codon, and T loops).
Source: RNAcentral
GCGAGGAUGGCGGAAUUGGCAGACGCGCCAGACUUAGGAUCUGGUCCGAUUCCGGGUGUGGGUUCAAGUCCCUCUCCUCGCACCA